AUUGAACGCUGGCGGCAUGCUUUACACAUGCAAGUCGAACGGUAACAGGCCUUCGGGUGCUGACGAGUGGAGAACGGGUGAGUAAUGCAUCGGAACGUGCCCAGAGGUGGGGGAUAACGCAGCGAAAGCUGUGCUAAUACCGCAUGUGAUCUGAGGAUGAAAGCGGGGGACCAGGCAGCAAUGUUUGGCCUCGCGCCUUUGGAGCGGCCGAUGUCAGAUUAGGUAGUUGGUGGGGUAAAGGCCUACCAAGCCGACGAUCUGUAGCUGGUCUGAGAGGACGACCAGCCACACUGGGACUGAGACACGGCCCAGACUCCUACGGGAGGCAGCAGUGGGGAAUUUUGGACAAUGGGCGCAAGCCUGAUCCAGCAAUGCCGCGUGCGGGAAGAAGGCCUUCGGGUUGUAAACCGCUUUUGUACGGAACGAAAAGGCUCUGGCUAAUACCUGGGGCUGAUGACGGUACCGUAAGAAUAAGCACCGGCUAACUACGUG
Molecule: ribosomal RNA, 492 nt
Filed under: uncultured bacterium
Lineage: Bacteria
Description: partial 16S ribosomal RNA
Rfam family: Bacterial small subunit ribosomal RNA
Source: RNAcentral